Molecule: transfer RNA, 72 nt
Filed under: Chloroflexi bacterium ADurb.Bin325
Lineage: Bacteria; Bacillati; Chloroflexota
Also listed under: 2 other names
Description: tRNA-Arg
Rfam family: tRNA
About the family: Transfer RNA (tRNA) molecules are approximately 80 nucleotides in length. Their secondary structure includes four short double-helical elements and three loops (D, anti-codon, and T loops).
Source: RNAcentral
GCCCCCAUAGCUCAGUGGAUAGAGCGCUAGCCUCCGGAGCUAGAAGCGCAGGUUCGAGUCCUGCUGGGGGUA